UAUCAGUCUUAUAUGGUGGUACAGUACACCAAGGUAUCAGUCUAAUAUGGUGGUACAGUACACCCAGGUAUCAGUCUAAUAUGGUGGUACAGUACACCCAGGUAUCAGUCUAAUAUGGUGGUACAGUACACCAAGGUAUCAGUCUAAUAUGGCGGUACAGUACACCCAGGUAUCAGUCUAAUAUGGUGGUACAGUACACCCAGGUAUCAGUCUAAUAUAGUGGUACAGUACACCCAGGUAUCAGUCUAAUAUGGUGGUAC
This is a long non-coding RNA of Haliotis rubra (blacklip abalone), 260 nucleotides long. RefSeq lists it as uncharacterized. Lineage: Eukaryota; Metazoa; Mollusca; Gastropoda; Lepetellida; Haliotidae. The transcript has 3 exons. The record is from RefSeq and is a predicted model, not a curated record.